This 541-nucleotide small RNA is filed under the name Pan troglodytes (chimpanzee). RNAcentral describes it as "retained intron". Lineage: Eukaryota; Metazoa; Chordata; Mammalia; Primates; Hominidae. The record is from RNAcentral.
ACACCUUCGUUGUCUGCCCUCUGCCGUAGACAGAGCAGCACCCUCUGCUGGGAACAGCUCUCUGGUCCCUGGGUCUUCAGGGGAUGGUUUUCAUUCCCACGUGGCCGCCUCUGGACAUCUCUUAGGAAGGGCACCCUAGGGAUCACGAACCUUUGACGCCUCUGCCUGUUUCCCUCAUCUUGCUUCUCACCUUGUUGCUCCUUUCUUGUGACUCAAAGCUGAGUACCUUGUGACACUGCAGAUGCUUGGAGAGUUUCAAGCCCCUGCCGACACUUUAUCCAAGGAAGGAUAUCAGGAUAGGACUUCUACCUCUAGGCCUAUCACAACAGCUCUCUUGCAGAUGGUGGACCUGCUGGUUCCGGGUGGAGCUGACCAUCCCAGAGGCAUGGGUGGGCCAGGAAGUUCACCUUUGCUGGGAAAGUGAUGGAGAAGGUCUGGUGUGGCGUGAUGGAGAACCUGUCCAGGGUUUAACCAAAGAGGGUGAGAAGACCAGCUAUGUCCUGACUGACAGGCUGGGGGAAAGAGACCCCCGAAGGUGAGU